CAAACAUGUCACAUUUGUAAUUGAUGUCGUAUUUUAAACACUGUAAUUAAAAUUGAAUUUGCUUUUUGGUGCCGCCUCUGAUAGAAGCUCCUUGCCUGUUAACGGGGCCUGCCCCCUACUUUGGGAACUAUAUCUGUAAAAACUAAAGAAACUAACAAAAUAAAAAAAUAAAUAACUUUUUUAUAUAAUAUACAACUGUAAAUAAAAAAGACAACAAUACAACAAUAUCAACAUUAUGUAGUCUGGGAUUACAUGACGAUACAGAAGGAUUUGCCCAGACCUACAUCCAGAGGGCGUGUGGAACCACAUACGGAACCCAUAAAAACUGUGUUUAAGUCUACAGUACAUAGAAGCAUUAAAUUAAUGUUUUAAAUACAACGGCAACUGGCCACACCAAAUAUUGAUUUAAUUGACAAUUUGUGUAAAUUUAUCAUUGUUAAUUGAUGAAAAUAAACUAUUCACACUUGCAGCAUAUUUCCACACCUGCCUAAAACUUUUGUACAGUCACGUGAACAAUGAAUGAUGCAAAAUCUGUUCCACUGCAUUACGAGCAUCAACGUCAUGAUACUCAACUGCAGGAUGAAAAGAUGCUGAAGGUUUAAGGAUGUAAACAACGUCCGUGUCUCCCUGCUCUUCUUCAGUCCCCUGAUUGUUCCUCCUGAUACAUCGACACAGACACAGCGCUGUAAGGGUCCAGCACCAACUGAGCACAGCGGACAAUGAACAAACACAAGAAAAGGCAGAGGGAGAUGAAGAAGAAGAUGGCAAAACCAAGAUCCACAUCCACAUCCAGUUUGGCAGCAGGGAACGUCGGUUGGUCCAUGGUGGCUGUGAAACAAAGAAGUGGAAGAAAGGAGGCAAACUGAUCCCAGCUCAACCCAAACCCCUCCGAUGUCUCUGACAUCUUCACCUGUUUACAGAAAGAGGACAGAAAACGGAUCCAGGCCGAUCCCAGCCAAGGUGGCUUUGGUUUCCUCGCCUGUUGACAUAAAACUGUUGACUAAAAACACAGCAGAAACAACCAUGACGUUUGUGAUCUUUGAACGGAGGAGACAACAGCGGACUAGAAGGCUGUAUAAAAAUCCAACUCAAUUUCUGACAUCGUAACAAUUUAUUACAAAACAUUUUCUCAUUUUACAUUUCGAAACAUACACAGUAUAUUUAUAUAACUGUUGAAUGAGUGAAGUUCACAUCAUUGAAAAGAGAAAACAGAAAAACAAAGGAAACAAAGCUUAAAAAAAAAAA
Long non-coding RNA from Cynoglossus semilaevis (tongue sole), 1245 nucleotides. RefSeq lists it as uncharacterized. NCBI's taxonomy places the organism in Eukaryota, Metazoa, Chordata, Actinopteri, Pleuronectiformes, Cynoglossidae. The transcript has 3 exons. The record is from RefSeq and is a predicted model, not a curated record.